Molecule: transfer RNA, 61 nt
Filed under: Actinomycetota bacterium
Lineage: Bacteria; Bacillati; Actinomycetota
Description: tRNA-Leu
Rfam family: tRNA
About the family: Transfer RNA (tRNA) molecules are approximately 80 nucleotides in length.
Source: RNAcentral
GGAGGGGAGUCGAGUCGGGCUCAUAACCCGAAGGUCGCAGGUUCAAAUCCUGCCCCCGCUA